GUGACUUUUUCUAGCUUAUGUCGGCAAAUAGAGUUACACGUAACCAGUUCCCUAUGUAUUCCAUAACCACGACAUACGUUACAAGUUGUUUGGCAAGUUCUUCGGGAGGCAUGAUGUAAAGUCCAACAAACUCAGCAUUCACCCAACUGGUGCCAUCUUCAUGAUCCAAUCUGUGCCUCUUCAGGAUCUUUUAUUUUAUCACGCCUUUUCAGGAUCUGGCAGGGAAGAUGGAGACCCUGUUGAGAAGGAUCAGAUGCUGAUAGGAGAAAUCAUUUAAAUUUGAUUCUGGGUGGCCACCAUUUCCAAAGAGACGUGCCAAAUCAAUAGAUGUACAGUAAGAAACUAUGGACAAUUAUGCACCUUCUAGCACAGCUUGUGGUUACACAGAAUCCGCUUUCAGGAAAAGCUUGUGAAAAAACAGAUUCUGCUUAUUCAGUUCAUUCUUGGAUUGUGCUUAUUCAUAAGCUGCUGCAUAAUCCUGCCGCUUAGCAUAGCCUCUGCUUAAUCUGAUAAGCCAAACAAGGCCUAGGUUAUCAGUGAUCACCCUUUUAAGCAUUAUUCAAUGGAUUCUCCCUCCUUGUCAUCUUAGAACUUGCCUACCAAUUUAUCCCACUGUUCCCUUGUUUGGGAAUUUGGGUAACAAUCAAGCAGCUUUGUUUGAUGAUUGUGACAGGACCUACACUAUAUACAUGAAAUUCUUUGCUCCCUGGAAAAUUAAAAACCCAGCAUCACAUUUUUAUAUGCGACAUCAUAACGAAAAAGAUAUAUGCAUUAUGUGUGCGAAAAAGGUCAUGAAAAAUAUAUAGCAUGUAGGUUCAAGACAGGAAACCCCUGUUGUAAUUAAACUUCCAAUACUUAAGCCAAGAUGGCGCAGAGAUCAAGCGGCAAGGCUGUAGUCAAACUGAACCCUGAGGUGAAGCUAGCAAAUUGCGACUGAGAAGAUCUGAGACAAGCUGAAAGAAAAUCAAUUUACCACUAAAUCAAGGUGACUGAGAAGAUAUGGGGCCAAACAUACAUCUGACAGCAAACCGAUUUACCACUAAAUCAAGGUGACCCCCUAUUUUGAAAUUUGAAAUUUCCAUGGUCAGGACAAAAUAGCUUAAACCACAGUUGUUGUAAAAGAACAUACCUAAUAGGUAACAUAUAACUAUUAUAACUGCAGGAAACUGAUGUGCCAGUACUGGUAGAAAAGGAAAUCGAUCCCAAUUAUUGUUGUUCCAUCAACAGUAAAGAAUUUGUGCUUUACUUGUUAAUAACAGAAAGAUGGAGGUUCCUAGUUGUGUUUUCAGUUGAGCACUUCCACAGCAAGAAUAGUUCAACGGUUAAUUAAAAAAAAUCAGAAUUGAUACACAUAGAAGCAAAAAGCAGUGCAAACUGAUACACAUAAAGUAAUCAAAGAAGUGUGAAUAAUAGCGUGUUUAUUUAUGAAACAAUGACUGAGUGGUGCACUCACUCCAUGCAUUAACAAUUUCAAUCCAUGUAUGUAAAUGAAUAUAGAAGUACAAGUUGACUUAAAUAGUUUAUGACAAACUGGUAGCAAUAAUGAUGUGCAAAGCUAAUUCAAUCACA
Molecule: long non-coding RNA, 1569 nt
Filed under: Setaria viridis
Lineage: Eukaryota; Viridiplantae; Streptophyta; Magnoliopsida; Poales; Poaceae
Description: long non-coding RNA (SVIR_LNC010245)
Source: RNAcentral